CCCUCAGGGCUCCGGGCGGCCGUGACCCUGCUGGAGUGCGGGGGGGACCUCCAGUGCCCCGGGGGGUCCCUGACUCUGCUCUACCGCACCUCCGGGUUCACUUUCGGAAGCUCCUACAUGAGCUGGGUUCGGCAGAGUCACGGGAAGGCGCUGGAAUGGCUCGCAGAGAUCAGCAGCAAUGGUGGCAGCACCUACUACGCGCCGUCGGUCAAGGGCCGGUUCUCGAUCUCCAGGGACAAUGGGCAGAGCUCGGUGACACUGACCAUGAACAGCCUCAAGGACGAGGAUUCCGCCAUUUAUUUCUGUGCCAAAUCUGCUGGUACUGGUGCUGGUCUUUGCCGGAUCCAUAACAAGGCAUAA
This is a non-coding RNA of Catharus ustulatus (Swainson's thrush), 360 nucleotides long. NCBI's taxonomy places the organism in Eukaryota, Metazoa, Chordata, Aves, Passeriformes, Turdidae. The record is from the annotation of a RefSeq genome assembly.